Molecule: ribosomal RNA, 467 nt
Filed under: uncultured bacterium
Lineage: Bacteria
Description: partial 16S ribosomal RNA
Rfam family: Bacterial small subunit ribosomal RNA
Source: RNAcentral
ACGAACGCUGGCGGCGUGCUUAACACAUGCAAGUCGAACGGAAAGGCCCUGCUUUUGUGGGGUGCUCGAGCGGCGAACGGGUGAGUAACACGUGAGUAACCUGCCCUUGACUUUGGGAUAACUUCAGGAAACUGGGGCUAAUACCGGAUAGGAGCUCCUGCUGCAUGGUGGGGGUUGGAAAGUUUCGGCGGUUGGGGAUGGACUCGCGGCUUAUCAGCUUGUUGGUGUGGUAGUGGCUUACCAAGGCUUUGACGGGUAGCCGGCCUGAGAGGGUGACCGGCCACAUUGGGACUGAGAUACGGCCCAGACUCCUACGGGAGGCAGCAGUGGGGAAUAUUGCACAAUGGGCGGAAGCCUGAUGCAGCAACGCCGCGUGCGGGAUGACGGCCUUCGGGUUGUAAACCGCUUUCGCCUGUGACGAAGCGUGAGUGACGGUAAUGGGUAAAGAAGCACCGGCUAACUACGUG